This 258-nucleotide ribosomal RNA is filed under the name Staphylococcus aureus. RNAcentral's name for it is "partial 16S ribosomal RNA". It matches the Rfam family "Bacterial small subunit ribosomal RNA", at positions 494 to 751 of the family's 1533-position model. The record is from RNAcentral. Lineage: Bacteria; Bacillati; Bacillota; Bacilli; Caryophanales; Staphylococcaceae.
CGGCUAACUACGUGCCAGCAGCCGCGGUAAUACGUAGGUGGCAAGCGUUAUCCGGAAUUAUUGGGCGUAAAGCGCGCGUAGGCGGUUUUUUAAGUCUGAUGUGAAAGCCCACGGCUCAACCGUGGAGGGUCAUUGGAAACUGGAAAACUUGAGUGCAGAAGAGGAAAGUGGAAUUCCAUGUGUAGCGGGGAAAUGCGCAGAGAUAUGGAGGAACACCAGUGGCGAAGGCGACUUUCUGGUCUGUAACUGACGCUGAUG